Molecule: ribosomal RNA, 262 nt
Filed under: uncultured prokaryote
Description: partial 16S ribosomal RNA
Rfam family: Bacterial small subunit ribosomal RNA
Source: RNAcentral
UACGGAGGGUGCAAGCGUUAUCCGGAAUCACUGGGCGUAAAGGGCGCGUAGGCGGCCUGUUAAGUCCGAUGUUAAAGACUGGGGCUCAACCCCAGCAUUGCGUUGGAUACUGGCAGGCUUGACAGUUGGAGAGGCGAGCGGAAUUACCAGUGUAGCGGUGAAAUGCGUAGAUACUGGUAGGAACACCCAUUGCGAAGGCAGCUCGCUGGACAACACGUGACGCUGAGGCGCGAAAGUGUGGGGAGCAAACCCGGAUUAGAUA